ACAGCAGUAGCCGCGGUAAUACAGAGGGUGCAAGCGUUAAUCGGAAUUACUGGGCGUAAAGCGCGCGUAGGUGGUUUGUUAAGUUGGAUGUGAAAGCCCCGGGCUCAACCUGGGAACUGCAUCCAAAACUGGCAAGCUAGAGUACGGUAGAGGGUGGUGGAAUUUCCUGUGUAGCGGUGAAAUGCGUAGAUAUAGGAAGGAACACCAGUGGCGAAGGCGACCACCUGGACUGAUACUGACACUGAGGUGCGAAAGCGUGGGGAGCAAACAGGAUUAGAUACCCGCGUAGUCCCUGUCUCUUAUAC
This 305-nucleotide ribosomal RNA is filed under the name uncultured bacterium. RNAcentral's name for it is "partial 16S ribosomal RNA". It matches the Rfam family "Bacterial small subunit ribosomal RNA", at positions 508 to 807 of the family's 1533-position model. The record is from RNAcentral.